GUCCACUUAGAUCAGUCGUAGAUCGUUUGUUUCCGGUACUGACCGUACAGCAAAAGGUCGAGGGUUCAAUCCCCUCAGUGGAUA
Non-coding RNA from Tulasnella sp. 419, 84 nucleotides. Lineage: Eukaryota; Fungi; Basidiomycota; Agaricomycetes; Cantharellales; Tulasnellaceae. The record is from the annotation of a GenBank genome assembly.